CCCCCACCUAUGUAUAUAGGACCCUAAAAGAUCACCAUUAAAGUUGGCACGGAUCUUCAGAAAAGUUAUCAUAUGGAUGUGGGACUUGACUUUUCUAUAAAUUCGUGCCAAAUUUAAUGGUGAUCUUUUGGGGUCCUACACACAUAGGUGGGGA
Molecule: microRNA precursor, 154 nt
Filed under: Amborella trichopoda
Lineage: Eukaryota; Viridiplantae; Streptophyta; Magnoliopsida; Amborellales; Amborellaceae
Description: MIR8565 microRNA precursor family
Rfam family: MIR8565 microRNA precursor family
Source: Rfam by way of RNAcentral